UGACAACUUGUGCCAAGCAGUGCGAAUACAUCUUGUUGACGGCUUGUUGGCAGACUUGUUACAAGAUGUGAGAUUUUUACGUGUGUAGAAGAGUACUGAUUAGUCUAACCUUUUGUAUACAUAUUUAUAUAUCUUAUCUCGUAUAUUACGAUUUUGUAAUUAUAACCAGGCUAUGCUUAGAUGGAUACCAGGGGCUCUGGUAUCCACAUAGUAUAUUCUGGUUCAUAUAUAUAUACAUUAAUUAAUUCAUUAAUUUACUAAUUAACAUUUGAUUUGAGUUAAGAAAACUAUCUUUGUUGGAAAUAAAUACUUUAUAAAUACAAAAUACAAAA
This is a non-coding RNA of Paramuricea clavata, 332 nucleotides long. Lineage: Eukaryota; Metazoa; Cnidaria; Anthozoa; Malacalcyonacea; Plexauridae. The record is from the annotation of a GenBank genome assembly.